CCCUUAGAUGUUCUGGGCUGCACGCGCGCUACACUGAUGCGAUCAACAAGUUUUUCCUAUGUCGAUAGACACGGGUAAUCUUUUGAACUCGCAUCGUGAUGGGGAUAGAUUAUUGUAAUUAUUAAUCUUCAACGAGGAAUUCCUAGUAGGUGCAAAUCAUCAGUUUGCAUCGAUUACGUCCCUGCCCUUUGUACACACCGCCCGUCGCUGCUACCGAUUGGUUGAUCUGGUGAAUUAUUCGGACUGCCGGCUGAAGGGGUUUCCUCAUCUGCCAGCGGAAAGUCUUGGUAACCCUAUCAACUAGAGGAAGCAGAAGUCGUAACA
RNAcentral lists this ribosomal RNA (324 nucleotides) under uncultured eukaryote. Its description in RNAcentral is "partial 18S ribosomal RNA". It matches the Rfam family "Eukaryotic small subunit ribosomal RNA", at positions 1470 to 1796 of the family's 1831-position model. The record is from RNAcentral.